UGACGCCCGGGCUUUUGUUAUUAGGUGCGAGAGGCAGGUGCGGAGCCGCAGCCGGGACUCGCCCAAGUCUGGAAGGGGAGCGCGGACUCGCCGCCGCCGGCCCCCGGGACAGGUAUCGUACAGCCAUGGAGGAUUCUACCAUCAAUCUGGUUCCUAAAGGAGUCGGGCUUCUGUGGGAAAAGAGAGGACCUUGCAACAAGCAUGGGCAGUUGUGUUGCAGUGGGUGACCUGGGGUGAGCCGACUGAGUUGAUGAAAAUUGGCACUGAAGUGAAUACAGCUAUGAAAAUUUACCCCAUCUGAGGAUUGCUGGAAGAAAUGGCUGGGGGCUAUCCAUGCUCUACCACUGAUUCACUGCAUGAUCUGAAGAAGCCUGAGAGUACAAUAUAGGUCUUCCAGAUGUCAUUCAAAUCUCCUACCACACUCCAUCAUCCAAAAGGAGAGCCACAAAGAUCCCUCUGGAAUAGUGCUUCAUUCUGCAAACCAAGCCAAAGGUUGAGACACAAAUUGUUCCUUGUGCUGUAAGCAUCACUUCUGCAGCACACCCAGCUGCUGCCGCCGGCCCAUGGAGUAAGAAAAAGCUAACUUUGUGUCCGAGCUCUGAUCCUCUGCAUAGUAACAACCUACUACUGGGAAAAUGUAUUAUUAAAAGGAAGGUUUUACAUUGAUUUUAUAAAUAUUUAUGCAGUGCUUGAAUAUGCAGAGACUUCUAUUUACCUGUAACCCACAAUUUUAAGAUUUUAAUUUUUUUAAUUGUUUGAGAUCUGUAGAGAUUAAUAGCCGCUUGUAGAAUUUGGGAACGACCAUGCUUGAUUUUCAAAUAUUCUAUUAGUCAAGGGGUUCUUAAAUCUUCUGUAGCAUAGGCCACAUUCUAAGAGAGGUUGGCUUGUGAACACUUACCCGCACAUCUAUGAUUGCGUAAGCUACGGUAUCUGUCCUUCCUAUCUGUUGGUAUGUCUACACUGCAAUCAGAGCUGUGACUGCAGCUCACAGGCAUAGCCAGGCUAGCUUUGAUGUAGCUAGCAUAGCUGAAAAUAGCAGUGAAGAUGUGGUGGCAGAGACCCCAUCAUGAGCUAGGAAGGCAAAGACAUAUCCAGGAGGCUCGGUGGGCUUGAAUAGCCCUCCCUGCUAUGUCUUCACUGCUAUUUUUACCUGCAUGCUAAAGAUGAUACUUUAAAUACAUGCUGUUUUUAGCUGCAGUCACACCUCCAACUGCAGUGCAGACAUACUCUGACUGUGAAGACCGCUUCUUCUCCUAUUUGCAGUCUACUGACAUCCCUUGGCCAACGGCAGCAACUGCUUACAUGGAAAAGUGAUAUUAGGAAUUGCUAUAGCUAACAUAUUAGCCACCAUUGCCAUAAUAUCUGACCCUGUCACCUGUGAGUUCAAAUUAUAGCUUGGAUCACAGGUGAUACUUGCAAAAACACUUCACAUUUGAAUUAGGAUUUAGGGUAUAAUAGUUACAUCUGUAAAGCACUGUAAAUGUGCUUCAUCCAUGCUAAAUGCUAUGUAUUAUUAUUUUGGUGCUUUGGCAGUCUAUAUAAGAAGAGCCUAUUGAUGAGAACAGGAAUCUUGCCAGGCAAUACUGAAGUGACACUGGCAGAGAUGUCAGGAAGUUUGAACAAUGCAAACCUAUAUUAUACUUGGUUCAAGACAGUGCUAUUGUUGUCCUCCACUUAAUAAGUCCUUAUAAGCACUAAACUCACUUACAAUUUUCUGUUAAAGUUCAUUGCCCUUGUAAGGGACAAGGAAAGGCAAAUCUGUGGUUAACAAAGUAAUAGGAGAGCAAAGAAAAGAAGAAAAAUGAGGUAAUGUAAAUAAUAAGAGAAAAAGAAUCAAUAGUAACUGUUAGUUGCAAAAUGAUAAGAGCGAUUGGUCAUUUGCUCAGCAUUGUGUGAGCGGAAUCACUAGUGGGCAAUUUGUCUUCUCAUGACUGUGGUGGGCCAAUCAAAAAAGCAGGCAGAGCAUUGUAUUCUUAAGAGGUACAACUGAUCCUGAAUAUACAAUUCCUAGUUGAUUGGGCAGGUCUCACUAAUCAGUUAUUUUGUAAGUGGGAGGACACCAAAUGCAUCAGUUAGAACCUUAUUUUUCCAUUCAAUUUUUUAGAACAAGGCGGCUCAUUGAUCAGUUUCUACGUUACAAUUCAUUUCCACUGUUGUGCCACAGGAAAUCUCAAGUACAAUUAUACUGCCAAUUUGCCUCCCUCUUUUUAUAUAUAUUUUUAAAAGGGUUAAAUUUUAACAGCAAUGUUUCCUGACUGCAUGCAUUCAGUUCCCUACCAUACAAUUGAUUAUUUUACUUUAGAAAAACUGAAUUUCUUUGUGCUCUAGGUCACUUAUGUUGUGUAAAUGCUUAUGCUACAUAAAAGGAGCCCUACUGUAGCACUGGUUAGUCUCUACGUUGCCACAAGUACUCCUUUUCUUUUUGCGGAUACAGACUAACACAGCUGCUACUCUGAAACUGGUAGAUAGGAAGUUCAUUCUUUGUAGCACACUCCCAUUUGUCACACCUGAAUGAAUGGAAAUGAGUGGGAUUAUCAGGAGUCAGAGUUCCUGAGUGAGAACCUGAAGCCAAAUCUCUAGAGGUUUUGAGCAUCUUCACCUCCCACAGUUACUGAGGACAUUCUCAGGAUUUGGCUUUCAGUCAGGAAGGAUUUAAAGCAGGGAACUCUAUUUCAAAACACAACAAAAAAAAUCUCUCCAAUUGAUAGAAAGGAGAGCUAGGUUGGCAGCAGACCAGUUAAUUCAAAAGCACUAAAUAAGACAGACUUCCAUAAUGUGCUGGAAAGACUGAUACCAUUUUAGCCCAAGAAAGUCUUUGUGCAAAGCCCUUGGUUUUACCUGGAAGCCUAUUUAACUGACGAUUACGGACAAUGUGAUUUUGUUGAGAAAGCUCUCCCUGUGUCAAGCUCUGCUGCAGGAAGGUGCUGAGCAACUUUGCUAUUGUGCAGUGCAUCUUGUUAAUUGGGAUAAUUGUUAUCCCAUCUUGUUAUCCAUGGGAUAAUUGGGACCCAUGGAUAUCCUUCGGUGUCACCCACAUAACCAGAGGUGUUAUAUUAAUUUAGAUGGAAUAAAGGGGCCCAAAGAGUCAGAGAUGUUAACAUGAUCCUGUCACUGUCCUACAUUAAACAGCCUUAAACAAGAUUUAGGAUACAGAGAUCUCAGCCUGCUUAUUACUCUGGCAAACACUAUUAACCAUUUUUCCUUCUUCUGUAUCUUCAAUAAAAAGGUUAAAACUUUACAUUUCAAAUGCUUUAAGUAAGGCUUUCAUUUUAAUGUCUUGUUCCUUUUCCCUUUAGUUGAAGACAGACUAGAAGGGGGAAAAACCCCACCUUAUCUGACAGUUUUUUAGAUGGUGUUAAAGAGGGUUGUAAUUGUUCUUUUGAGGAGAAGAAAGGAGGUUAGUUGAGAUGGAUCGGGGUGUUAUCGGGGUGUUGUGGUUGUUACAGUCUCAUCCUGUUGCAUAGAAAAACAAAACAAGACAAACACACCCACAAGGAGAAAGAAAAGCAAAGAGUUUCUUUAGUGUUGACUCUCAUUUGCAACUCUGUUGGAAAAAACACAAGCACAACAUACGGUCUUAUCAGUAACUCCAAGGCCUUCCAAAUUUGUACCAGUACUGGGCUGUUUAGGGCAUUGCAUUUAGCUGUCUUUCAGAGGCAGCAGGUUUGUAUAAUUUUUGGUGGUGCCCAGAAUGGGUCUGAGUCCUGACCCCCCGAACGCGUGCGCC
Caretta caretta (loggerhead turtle) is the source of this 3727-nucleotide long non-coding RNA. RefSeq lists it as uncharacterized. The record is from RefSeq and is a predicted model, not a curated record. Lineage: Eukaryota; Metazoa; Chordata; Testudines; Cheloniidae.